GACGAACGCUGGCGGCGUGCUUAACACAUGCAAGUCGAACGGUGAAACGCCUUCCUUUUUGGUGGGUGUGGAUGAGUGGCGAACGGGUGAGUAACACGUGAGUAACCUGCCCCCUUCUUCUGGAUAACCGCAUGAAAGUGUGGCUAAUACGGGAUAUUCUGGGUCUGUCGCAUGAUGGGUCUGGGAAAGAUAUUGUUUCGGUGGGGGAUGGGCUCGCGGCCUAUCAGCUUGUUGGUGGGGUGAUGGCCUACCAAGGCGGUGACGGGUAGCCGGCCUGAGAGGGUGGACGGUCACACUGGGACUGAGACACGGCCCAGACUCCUACGGGAGGCAGCAGUGGGGAAUAGUGCACAAUGGGCGCAAGCCUGAUGCAGCGACGCCGCGUGAGGGAUGGAGGCCUUCGGGUUGUGAACCUCUUUCGCCAGUGAAGCAGGCCUGCCUCGUUUGUGGGUGGGUUGACGGUAGCUGGAUAAGAAGCGCCGGCUAACUACGUG
RNAcentral lists this ribosomal RNA (494 nucleotides) under uncultured bacterium. RNAcentral's name for it is "partial 16S ribosomal RNA". It matches the Rfam family "Bacterial small subunit ribosomal RNA", at positions 28 to 507 of the family's 1533-position model. The record is from RNAcentral.